ACUCAAAUGAAUUGACGGGGGCCCGCACAAGCAGCGGAGCGUGUGGUUUAAUUCGAUGCAACGCGAAGAACCUCACCCAGGCUUGACAUGCAGGAAGUAGGACCCCGAAAGGGGAACCACCCGUAAAGUCGGGAACUUGCACAGGUGCUGCAUGGCUGUCGUCAGCUCGUGCCGUGAGGUGUUGGGUUAAGUCCCGCAACGAGCGCAACCCUCGGCGUUAGUUACCAUGUCUAACGCGACCGCCGGUUUCAAACCGGAGGAAGGUGGGGAUGACGUCAAGUCAGCACGGCCCUUACGCCUGGGGCUACACACACGCUACAAUGGCCGGUACAAUGGGACGCCAAGAGGUGACUCGGAGCAAAUCCUAUCAAAGCCGGUCUCAGUUGGGAUUGCAGGCUGCAACUCGCCUGCAUGAACGCGGAGUUGCUAGUAACCGCAGGUCAGCACACUGCGGUGAAUACGUUCCCGGGCCUUGUACACACCGCCCGU
Molecule: ribosomal RNA, 489 nt
Filed under: uncultured bacterium
Lineage: Bacteria
Description: partial 16S ribosomal RNA
Rfam family: Bacterial small subunit ribosomal RNA
Source: RNAcentral